UGGGGAAUAUUGGGGCAAUGGGCGAAAGCCUGACCCAGCAACGCCGCGUGAAGGAAGAAGGUUUUCGGAUUGUAAACUUCUUUUAUCAGGGACGAAGAAAGUGACGGUACCUGAUGAAUAAGCCACGGCUAACUACGUGCCAGCAGCCGCGGUAAUACGUAGGUGGCAAGCGUUGUCCGGAUUUACUGGGUGUAAAGGGCGUGCAGCCGGGAAUGCAAGUCAGAUGUGAAAUCCAUGGGCUUAACCCAUGAACUGCAUUUGAAACUGUAUUUCUUGAGUACUGGAGAGGCAAUCGGAAUUCCUAGUGUAGCGGUGAAAUGCGUAGAUAUUAGGAGGAACACCAGUGGCGAAGGCGGAUUGCUGGACAGCAACUGACGGUGAGGCGCGAAAGUGUGGGGAGCAAACAGGAUUAGAUACCCUGGUAGU
RNAcentral lists this ribosomal RNA (426 nucleotides) under uncultured Oscillospiraceae bacterium. RNAcentral's name for it is "bacterial SSU rRNA". It matches the Rfam family "Bacterial small subunit ribosomal RNA", at positions 355 to 794 of the family's 1533-position model. Lineage: Bacteria; Bacillati; Bacillota; Clostridia; Eubacteriales; Oscillospiraceae. The record is from RNAcentral.